AAACAAAACAAAACAAAAGAGUUGCUUGAAGGAAUCAAGCAGUACCAAAGCAGCCAAGACUUGAAGGUCUAAGAUCAUAAAGAGAAAGAAGGGCAUGUACUGAGAAGUGAGUCUGAUGUUGCCCCCACCUUUCCCCUUGAUGUGUUUGCUAAUUGACAAGUGGCUUGUGAAGAGCUAAUUGGAAGACUGUGGCUGACAGGCAGAGAGGGUGGGGACAGAGAUUUUAGCAGCUCAGGAGAUGCAGAGAGAAAAAUUCAAAAUGUUUCAGGACUUACCAAAGAGAAGGGUCCCUGAUAAGCACUCGGGCUUUCAUUUGGGACUUCUGAAGGACAACAUCCAAGGACUAAGGUGUCUUAGUUUGGGCUACUAUUAUAAAUUACCAUAGGUUGGGUGUUUUCCACAACAAACAUUUAUUUCUCUUAGUUCUAGAAGCUGGUGGUCUGAGAACAGUGUCGCAGCAUGGUCAGGUUCUUGGUGAAUGCCCUCUUCCUGGUUUACAGACCGCAUCUUCUUGCUGUGUCCUCACAAGGCAGCAAAGAGAGCUACGUAGCUCUCUGGCCUCUUCUUCGGAAGGCACUAAUUCCAUUUGUGAGGGUUCCAUCCUCAUGACCUAAUUACCUCCCAAAGGUACCAUCUCAAAUACCACCACACUGGAAUCGGUUUCAACAUAUGAAUCUUGGAGGACCCAUUAGUCCUUUGCAAAAGGGUAACUGGAGACACCUAGGCCUCAAAAAGAAUGAAGCACGGGGGUGCCUUGGUGGCUUAGUCGUUUAAGCAUCAGACUCUUGAUUUCGGCUCAGGUCAUGAUCUCAUGGUUCAUGAGAUAGAACCCCACAGGGCUCCACGCUGACAGCACAGAGGCUGCUUGAGAUUCAUUCUCUCUCCCUCUCUCUCUCUCUCUCUCUCCCCCUUCCUCACUCAUGCGUGCUCUCUCUCCCUCUAAAAAUAAAUAAACUUAAAAACAAAAAAGAAUGAAGCACAGUUCUGAUUUAAAUCAAUCUCAGACUACAGUAAGGUGAAUUUCCCCAUCCAAACUACCUGCUAGUAGCGAAAGUAAAUCCUUUCUGAAGGACUUAUAGUAACACCAAUAAAUAUCAAAUACCUAGGAAUAAGUCUACUAAAGAUGUACAGAACUGCAGGAGAAUUGUAGAUGUAAAUAUGAAAGUUUAAGCAAAAGCUUCUAAUGGAUAUCAGUGAAAAUCUUCACGACCCUGAAAGUACUCCAAAACACCUGUACACAAAUGUCCAUGGUAGUACUAUUUCUAAUGCUCAAAAACUUGAAACAACUCAAAUAUCCAUAAACAAUGAAAGGGGUACAUAAAAUGUGGCAUAUUCAUUCAAUGGAAUACUACCCUGCAAUAUAAACACAUAAACUACUGCUAAACACAACAGCCUGCGUGGAUUCCACCAACAUGGUGGUGAAUGAAAGAAUCCAGACACAAAAAAGUACCUACUGUAUGACUCCAUUUAUAUAAAGUUUAAAAAUAGGCAAAAGGUACCUAUGAUGUUAAAAGCUUAGAGGGAGAGUCGCUUAGAGACCAGAAGAGAAAGGCUGCUUUCCAGAGUGCAGGCAAUGUUUUGUUUCUCGACCUGGAUGAUGGUUACUGGUUAUGUCAGUUUGUUCCCAUGAAAAUAUGCUGAGCAUUCCACAUGGGGCUUGUACACAUCUCUGAAUAUUAUAUUUAAAGUUAAUUCGAUGACAACUGAGAGAGACAGAGAGCACUGAAACUCUUCCCCAGAGGUGGCACAUAUCUUCUUGAACCCAACAGGACUCCAUGCUUUAAGUGAUGAAACAUUUCACUCAAAUUGACCUAAAAAGCAAAGGGAGUCCAAAGAAGAUGGACAUAUAGCCAGCAAGCAUAUGAAAAAUGUUCAACAUCAUCAGUCAGAAGGAAAUGUGAAUCAAAGCCACAGUGAGAUACUACUUCACACCCACGAGGAUGGCUAUGCUCAAAAAGCAAGACAGUAACAAGGGUUGGCCAGGAUGUGGGAAAGUCAUGAUACACUAUAACAUGGAUGAACCUUGAAAAGAUUACGCUACAUAAAAGAAGCUGGUCAUAAGCGACCACGUAUUCAUACUUACGGGAAAUGUCUAGAACAGGUUACUCUACAGAGACAGAGGGCAGAUUUGUGGUGGUGGUGGCCAGGGCUGAAGGCAGCGGGUGGCAGUUUCAGCCAGGGAGGUUGAGAGAGAAAGAACAACUGCUCAUCAGAAUGGGGUUUCUUUUGGGAGCAAUGAAAGUGUCCUAAAAUUCAUUGUGGUAAAGGUUGCCCAACUCUGUGAAAGUACUAAAAAAUAUUGAAUUGUACACCAUUAAAACGGUUUCACUAUUUAAACUCUUUUUAAAAACAUUAAGGGUGAAUUUUAUGAUAUUUAAGUUAUAAAUCAAUAAAGGUCCUUUAACAACUAAGGAGACUAGGGGCGCCUCGGUAGCUCAGUCAGUUAAGUGACCGACUCUUGAUUUCGGCUCAGGUCACAAUCUCACAGUUUUGUGAGUUCAAGCCCCGAAUCAGGCUCUGCAGGCUGAUUGGGUGCAGAACCUGCUUGGGAUUCUCUCUCUCCCUCUCUCUCUGUCCUUCCCCUGCUCACACUCUUUCUCAAAAUAAAUGAAAAACUUAAAAAAAUAAAAAUUAAAAAAACAUAUAAAAACCAAUGAGAAUUUAAUGGCUUAUGUAACUGAAAUAUCUAGAGAUAAGUUGCUUCUGUGAGGAUCCGUCCAGCAGCCCAAACAUUAUCACCAGUACCUGAUUUCAUUCUCUCCUUGAUCUGCCUUUUGUGGUCUUGGCUUCACCCUCAGACCACCAUGUCAGUAACUUAGCAGCUCCAGGCACACCCAUCUUGUCAGCAAAAAAAGGCAAGAGCCAUUCAAGAUGUCAUAAUCUCUUCUUGCACCAUCCAUAGGACAAAGAAAGUUUCUCUUUCUCAGAAGUUCCAGAAAAUGUGUGCUUAAAUUUUACCAAUGCCUCACUGACACUGCUUGAGUUUUGCUCCCACUCCAUAUGGAGAAAUGGGGCAAAUGAUAGUCUUAAGCCAAUCUGAUGCCAGAGCCCCAGAGUCAAUCCUACCCAAACUACAUGGCUGAAGGUUGGGUAAGGGCAGCUUCCUAAAAAAAGGUGGGAUCUUGUCACCAGAAAUUAUGGAAACUAAAGUUGAGGAGUAAACAUCAACCUGAAUUACACACACACACACACACACACACACACAACACACACAUACGGAGCCAGAGUCAUUGUGGACUAAAGAAUACAAGCAACAGUUAUUUACAAAUUGAUUUUCCACAUUUGAUGCAAGACAGAGGUACUCAUGUUUGUAAAUGGAGCACUGGACAUACAACUGGAUCCAUAACACCUUCUCAAUUGAUUUUGAAUGAAUGAACAAACAAAUAAGCCAAUGACAACAAAUUAAUAAAUGAAAGAAAUUGGCUAUCUUGAUGGCAAAGAACCCAGACUCUCUUUUGGUUCUUUUUUCUUCUAUCUCCUUCUUCUCUCUACUUGGUCAAUCACCAUGAGUCCAGUAAAGCAUUCAAAAGUUAGAAAGAAUUGGACAAGGAGAGUUUCAAAUCUCUGUAUGUUUUGGUCCUGAAAAGCACUCUGAUGACAAACUCACAGUUGAGGAGGUUUAUAUCAUUGGCUACAAAAAGGUUUAGAGAGUCUUAGUUGGUUUCAAUCUCCAACACAGGGGAGAUGUUGGUACAAUGUCAAGGCAACUAUUGACUCUUUCUAACCCUACUUCUAAAACCCGCAUAGGCAUUGGUUCCAGAGAUUUCUGAGUUACCUGUCAUCCCACACUGCCUCCUAAGCCAGGUCUUAGUUUCUGACCGGAUAUCCACUAGUUUAUAAGUAUUGCGGAAUAUUACCUUAACCUAACAGAAAUCACCAAAUGUAUAACAAACGACAUGAAAGACAGAAGAUCAAAACAUGUCUUCUAUCAUUAGAAUCCUGACCGAGAGUAUUUACACUUAAAUUUUCUAUUUUGACCUUCAUCUCAAGCUGGAGAUAAAUUGGGCAAGCAUUACUAACUUCAUUAUACAGAUUAGGAAACUUAGGCUCAGAAAACGUUUGCCCUAUUUUUAAUUGGUGACAAAGCAGGGACCAGAACAGGUUCCCCCCUAUAAAUACAGGUGGAUCCCUUUAAAUAAAAUAUAUUACCACUAAACCAACAUCCAGUGUACUGAAAAUUAAGAUGUUUUCCUGAUACUUAACAGAGGCAUUUGCAGUGACCCCACAUUUUUGCUUGAUUAAUAACUAAGUAAUAUAGAAUUUAUAAAAUCACAUCAAACAUUUCUGUGUGACAAUGCUAGGCAUUCAGUAAUUACUGAAUGCCUAGAUUCAUUCAUAUAAGAAUGACAGAUUCAUUCAUAUAAGAAGUGAUCAUAAGGUCAUAAAACAGACAAAGCCAAUUAGUUGUCAACCCACCUUUCAAACCCAUGUCCUUGGACCUUUUAGUGUCUUACUCUAGCCAUCUGAGCUAAUCCAUGGUCUUUGCAAUAAAAAGAUACUGAAACACUUUUUUUUUUUUUUAAUGACUUAGAUUUAAUCAUUGGAAGAGAAACACUUGUAAAUCUACAGGUACACUGAGUAUGUGUAUGAUAUACACUGCAUAUGUAUAUGAUACACUGUAUAUGAUAGAUUGGGUUUUUUUCCUCAAGUACUGAGCAAACUUUGUGCUUAAAAAAAGAAUUCACUGUGUUACCGAUAAUCGAAAAUGAAUUUACUUAGUUGGGUAGCUUUAAUUAGUUUGCUGGUGCUCCAAAGACUUUUGGGCGAAUGGGAUUUUUUUUCUAAUACCUGUAAUGCAUACAAGCGUUAAAUCAAAGCUGACUACAGCAAAAUCUAAUUCUAAAGGCCCUAGAGUAAAAUCACGAUAAAAUAAUUUACACCACAACCACUUCAUCAAAAUAGAAGGAAGUCUACGAAUAGUCCAACAGCUAUCACUACUAUGAUUUUUCCAAGAAAGAAGAGUUUAAAUUUUCUAACAAAUCCCACAUUUGUUGCUUUUCUAUGGCUUUUAGUUUGUCCAAAAGGAUUAUUUUUUCUUUUCUUUUUCUAGAUAUUUUAGACAGAGAGCAUGCGCAAGCAGGAGAGAGGGGCAAAGGGAGAGAGAGAAUUUUAAGCAGGCUCCAUACUCAGUGCAGAGUCCCACAUGGGGCUUGAUCCCACAAUCCUGGGACCAUGGCCUGAGCUGAAAUCAAGAGUCAGAUGCUCAACUGACUGAGUCACCCAGGCACCCCCAAAAGGAUUAUCAAUUUUAAAGCACAUCAAUUUAACAAGUGUUUAAUAAAAGACUAGUGAGAAACAUACAAAAACUAGAAGAGAGGCAACACUUUCAUGGAGGCAUUAUUGAUUAUUUAUUUUUCUUUUUAAAUUUGAAUUGAAUGUUGUUAUAAGAUUGUUAUUUAAUAAAUAAAAAGCAAGAAAAUUGCCAGCUUUAUGAGGAACAAUGUCUCCGCUUUGGGGUAGAGAAUUAGGAUAAUUAUGAACACUGCUUGGAAGUGUCAACCCUGCACUCACCUGUUCUUUGACCCAUGAGAAUCUUCUCCAUUUCACUGGGCCUGAACAUCUCUGGCAAUAAAAUGAUGAUAAAGAAAAUGACCUAUUCUACCUCAUAUAUUAGAAGAACAUAAAAAGAUUAAUACCUAUAUGCAGUUAUUAAAUUCAGUCAAAGAAGGUUUGGGAAGUUGGAACUUACUUUUGAGAUACGAACAGGCAAAAGUGAGGGAGGGAGAGGAAUUGAACAAAUUCCAUCAGGCACACUGGACAUGCUCCCACAAUUUCAAUUGCAGGCAACAUCCAGAGACACAGUGUUGAUGCUCCCCCACACCAUCCCUCCAAAAAUGCAAAUACUGAAACCUAUAAAAUGCCAAAUGGUGUUUAUAAUAGGUAAAUGAAAAUUGUAUAAAAGUCAAAACUAGGAUUAUAGAGACUGGAGUCAGAAAACCUUGGUUCAAAAAACUAUACAUAGAAUUUACUUAAACUGAUACAGGAUAUCUAUGAAAGAAAGAAAGAAAGAAAGAAAGAAAGAAAGAAAGAAAGAAAGAAAGAAAGAAAGAAAGAAAAGAAAAAAGAAAGGAGAAAGAAAGAAAACCUAUUGCAAAUAUUCACACUUAAUGGUGAUAUGCUGAAGGUUUCCCUUUAAGAUUGGGAAUGAGAAAAGAAAGAUCUCUAUCACUACUUCUAUUUAGAGAUUCUAGCCAGUGCAGUAAAGCAAAAAAAAGAAAAAGAAAAGAAAAGAAACAGACGAAGAGAGGAAGAGAGGAGGGAAGGAGGAAGGAAGGAAGGAAGGAAGGAAGGAAGGAAGGAAGGAGAAUAAGAAGUGAUAUCUCAUUAUGAUUUAUUAUUUUAUUUGAGAGAGAGAGAGAGAGAGAGAGAGAGAGAGAGAGAGAGAACAUGCACACAAAUCGGGGAGAGAGGCAGAGGCGAAAGAGUGAGAGAGAACCCCAAGCUGGCUCCAUGCUCAGUGUGGAGCUCGACACAGGGCUUGAUCCCAUGACCCCGGGAUCAUGACCAGAGCCGAAAUCAAGAGUUAGACACUGAACCAACUGAGCCACCCAGGCAGCCUCUCAUUGUGGUUUUAAUAUGUAUUUCCCUGAUGAUUAGUAAUGUAGAGCAUCUUUUCAUUUGUCUUUUGGCAGUCUAUAUAUCUUCUUUGGAAAAAUGUCUAUUCAGGCCCUCUGCUCAUUUUUUAAUCACAUUAUUUGUUUUUCUGGUGUUGAGUUGUAUUACUUCUUUAUGUAUUUUGGAUAUUAACCCCUUAUCAGAUAUAUCAUUUGAAAAUAUCUUCUCUCAUUCUAUAGGUUAAAAUCACUUUACGCCUGUCAGAAUAGCUAACAUCGAAAACAUAAGAAAUAACAAGUGUUGGCAAAAAUGUGAAGGAAAAGGAAAUCUUGUACACUGUUGGUGGGAAUGCAAACUGGUGCAGCCACUGUGGAAAACAGUGUGGAGGUUCCUCAAAAGAUUAAAAAUAGAAUUACCAUAUGAUCCAGUAAUGCCACUACUGGGUAUUACCAAAGAAAACAAAAACACUAAUUUGAAAAGAUAUAUGCACCCCUAUGUUUAUUGCACUAUUUAGGUACAAGAGCUAGGAUAUGGAAACACCCCAGAUGUUCAUCGACUGAUGGAUGGAUAGAGAAGAUGAGGUAUAUAUAUACAACAGAAUAUUACACAGCCAUUAAACAAAUGAAAUCUUGGGGCCCUUGGGUGGCUCAGUAGGUUAAGCGUCCAACUUCGACUCAGGUCAUGAUCUCACAGUUCAUGGGUUUGAGCCCCACGUUGGGCUCUGUGCUGACAGCUCAGAGCCUGGAGCCUGCUUUGGAUUCUGUGUCUCGCUCUAUCUAUCUGCCCCUUCCUCAGUCACGUGUUCUUUCUCUCUCUCUGUCUCUCUCUCCCAAAGAUAAAGAAACAUUAAAAAAAAUUUUAAUGAAAUCUUGCCAUUUGCAACAACAUGGAUGAACCUAGAGGGUAUAAUGUCAAGUGAAAUAAGUCAUCCAGAGAAAGACAAAUACCAUAUGAUUUCAUUUAUAUGUGGAAUUUAAGAAACAAAACAAAGAAAAAAGAGACAAAAAAACAAACUCUUAAAUACAGAGAACAAACCGGUGGCUGCCAGAGAGAUGGUGGGUAGGGAGAUGAGUGAAAUAAAGGAUUAAGAGUACAUUUACUGUGAUAAGUACCGAACAAUGUAUAGACGUGUUGAAUCAUUGUAUUGUACACCUGAUAGUAAUGUAACACUCUAUGUGAAUUACACUUCAAUAAAAAGAGAAAAAAGAAAAGAAAUGAAUGGUAUAAGGACAAAAAAAGUAAAAUAAAAUUGCUGUUACUAUUUGCAGAUACUAUCAUGUGUAGGUAGAAAACGCAAGAGAAUCUACAUAUGAUUUGUUGUACUUAAUAAGCGUAUUUGCUAAGUUACCUAGAUAAAAGGUCAAUGUAAAAGUUAAUUGAUUAUAAUAAUUGUAUCUACAAGCAAAUAGAAAAUAAUAUUUUAAAUGAUAUCUGCCUUUAAAAAAACUUAAAAACCUAGGAACGAAUCUAAUAAAAGAUGCAGAAGACCUCUAUAUAGAAACCUGUAAAACGUAGAUCAGAAGAGUUAAUGGUGUAAAGAUGUCAGUUGUCUCCAAAUCCCAGCGGGAUUUUUUUUUUUAAUUAUAGAAAUCGACAACUGAUUCAAACUUUUAUGUGGAAAUGCAACAGGCCGAGAAUAAGUAAUACAAUCUUAAAGCAGAUCAAAAUUGGAGUUACAGCAAGAGUUAUGAAGCUACAGUAAUUGAGACAAACUAGACAAAUAGGCCAGUGAAGCAGAAGAGGAGUCCAGAAAUAGGCCCACAGUUCUGUGGAGAACUGACUUAUGUCAAGAGUGGCACAGCAUAGCAGCGGGGAAAAUGUUUUACUUUCAAUAAUGGUGCUGAGUAGAUUGGAUGGUUUGAUUGGGGGUAGGGGGGACCUGACCUCUAUCUCAUAAAGAGAAACACAAAGAAUGUCUACACGUCCAAGAAAAAAAUGCAGACGAUCCAGUAGAAAAUUGAGCAAAACUUUUAAAAAGGAAGAUAUUUGAAUUGCCAGCAAACAUAUGCAAAGGUGUUUAAUUUUAUUAGUCAUCAGCGAAAUGCAAAUUUUAAAACCGGUAUGACAUUAGUACACCAAAGUGGUGAAGGUAAAAGGAACGUGCUGUAAAGAAUGGGGAGCAAAAAAAAACAAAUGGGGAGCAGCUAGAAUGUUUAUAUGCUGCUGGUGUGAAUAUAUAAACCUCAAAUCAGGCCAAACCUGCCUAUAAUGUUAGAAAUCUGGAUAUGGUUGCCUCUGGGGAGAAGGUAAUGGGAUAGAGACGGGGAAAGAACACAGGUGGGAAGGGUAGGAACCUUGGGGGUGCAGUUCUAUUCCUGGGUAAUAUAUUUCUUGAUCUAUAUGGUGAUUAUCCAUCUGUGUUCACUUUGUGAUACUUCAUCAAGCUGUACACUUAAGACUUGUAAACACGUCCCUGUAUACAUACUUCAAUUAUUAAGUUUAUAUAAAAAUCGACUCCGAUUUUAAGAACUCGAGAUUGCAGCCAUCAAAACCAGACAGACUAUGACGCAGGCUGACAUGAAUUUCCUCAAAAUUUUGCGGAUCUUAAAGCAUUGUUUUAAUAUGAGGACAAUAUCCCUUGGUUCCCCAGUUCCUUAAAAGCUUCUUCUAGCAUCUCCUAGCCAAGACUUCUCAAAGUUGUGUUGCCUUUAACAAAACUAAGAAAUCUGGCAACUGUGGAAGUGUGAAGCAUUUAGUCCUUUUCUUCAAAUGCUCCUCCAGACCUUGAGCAGUAGAUACAACUAGUUGAGGAGAGAAGGCACUGAAAGACCAUUAGAUCUCAGCAUGGGAAGGGACCCCAGAAGUCAUUAGCCUAACCUCAUUCCACACACAGGAGGCAUCCUGCAGCACUGAGGCAUGUAGUCAUUUAGCGUCUGCUUAAACAUCUUCAAAGUCAGGAAGCGAAGGCAGUCUAUUUCCUGGAUGAAGAGGUUUCCACGUCUGCAGGUCAGCCUAUGAAAAGCUCCUAAUCCAGCUCUCUUUAACUCAGACCCCUUAGAUAAAAAAGAACAACCUCUCUCUAAAUAACAGCACUUCAAAUACAAGAAGCAGACGCCAUGUUCGCCAGAGAGUUUCUCUUCUGUAACGCUGAACAUCUCAGUCCCUUCAACCCUUCUCACGCUAAAUCAGACACUGUCAUAUUGGAGAGAAGACUUUUGAAUCAAUUUGAUUCAGUCUGUCAGAGAUCCGGGUUAAGGAUAAAAUCCAGCUAUGGGAGAUGACCACAGCCAACAGCAAUUUUGUGGGUAAGCAGAAGAGGCUAUUGCCUGCUCUACGUCAUUUGAGGAGCAGAUAAAUUUUCUGUGAAUAAAACAUGUUCCCCACUUGCCUACUUUGAAACCUGAAAUUUUCAUAUCAAUCAUAACUUUGUGUUAAGGCAUCAAAGAUUGCUAUGAAAAAAAAAAAUGUUAUAGAGUAACCAAACACGAACAUCAAAGAAGAAACUAGCUCUGGAGAUGAGAAAGAAGACUGAGGAAACACAUGAGGGGGCAGGUGUAUUAGAGGAGGGUGAGAAGGUCAGAAAGUACUGGAGAACGAAGCAGCCCAAGAGGACAAGACAGUUAGGGUGCCAGAGGAUGGUGCACCUAGGAACCUGGACUAAUGAAGAUAUAAACACCUAAAAAGAAAAUGAAACUGAAAACCGGAAGAGAAAUGGACAGCUUGCCAAGAGCAGCUCUUCUCAAAGGCACAGACAAGUGAUCUUCUCCCCUGAGAAAGUCCAAGAACUAGUGGGAGGCUCAGAAGCAACAGCAUGGAACAUCUCUCCCUUUCUCCCUCUCUCUCUCUGUCUCUCCCUCCUCCCUCCCUCAUCUACACUCCCCUCUCCUUUCUUUUUUUGUCACUAUGCAGUUGGCCCACCAGGGACUGUCCCUGUGAUUCCCCAGCUUCCAUGCCAGUGACUGGAAAUUUCAGUUCCAGGGAAACCUAAAGCAUCGCUAAGGUGAGGAGAAAGGAAGACUCCAAUUUGCCAGCUCUGACAUCCUCAGCACCUGCUGUUAAUCACACACAUGCACUCAGGCGUGAUUCAGUGGCUCCUGUGAUUGGCCAUUUCAAUUGCUGUCUCUGUAGAUCACUGUCCCAGCUGAAUAUCCAGGGACCACAUUCAUCAAAAGCAUAAUUUGGGCGGAACGUGACUGUUUUUCCAAAACUGGAAGGAUGGCAUCAGCAAGAAAAAUUGGCAGUAUCUUUAAAGAAAGUUGGUUGUCUCCGAAGAUAAUGGAUAGUGGUUUUUAUAUCUACUAUUAAAAGGAAAUUAUCAGUU
This is a long non-coding RNA of Neofelis nebulosa (Clouded leopard), 10816 nucleotides long. RefSeq lists it as uncharacterized. NCBI's taxonomy places the organism in Eukaryota, Metazoa, Chordata, Mammalia, Carnivora, Felidae. The record is from RefSeq and is a predicted model, not a curated record. The transcript is spliced from 2 exons.